Molecule: unclassified non-coding RNA, 156 nt
Filed under: uncultured Ascomycota
Lineage: Eukaryota; Fungi; Ascomycota
Description: sequence contains ITS2
Source: RNAcentral
AAGACCAUGCCUAGGCCCUCUGCCUAGCGUUGGAGAUCCGCCCAGGCGGUCUCUCAAAUCUCCCUGCGGAGCCGUGGUGGCCUCUGAGCGUAGUAGUUAUCCUUCGUCGCUUCUGUAGGUGCCGCGGCUACGGCUGUAAAACCCCCAUAGCACAAG